CGUGAGUAACCUGCCUUGGAGUGGGGAAUAACAGCUGGAAACAGCUGCUAAUACCGCAUAAUAUAUCUGGGUCGCAUGGCUCUGGAUAUCAAAGAUUUAUCGCUCUGAGAUGGACUCGCGUCUGAUUAGCUGGUUGGCGGGGUAACGGCCCACCAAGGCGACGAUCAGUAGCCGGACUGAGAGGUUGGCCGGCCACAUUGGGACUGAGACACGGCCCAGACUCCUACGGAAGGCAGCAG
Molecule: ribosomal RNA, 239 nt
Filed under: uncultured bacterium
Lineage: Bacteria
Description: partial 16S ribosomal RNA
Rfam family: Bacterial small subunit ribosomal RNA
Source: RNAcentral